This 154-nucleotide microRNA precursor is filed under the name Amborella trichopoda. RNAcentral's name for it is "MIR8565 microRNA precursor family". It matches the Rfam family "MIR8565 microRNA precursor family". Lineage: Eukaryota; Viridiplantae; Streptophyta; Magnoliopsida; Amborellales; Amborellaceae. The record is from Rfam by way of RNAcentral.
CCUACACCCAUGUGUGUAGAACUCCAAAAGAUCACCAUUAAAUUUGACACAGAUCUCUAGAAAAGUUAUCAUAUGGGUGUGAAACUUAACUUUUCUAGAGAUCUGUAUCAAAGUUAAUGGUGAUUCUUUAGGGUCCUGCACACAUGCGUGUGGG